GACAGAGGUGCCAAGCGUUAGGCGGAAUCACUGGGCUUAAAGCGUGUGUAGGCGGAUCGUUAAGUACCUUGUGAAAUCCCACGGCUCAACCGUGGAACUGCUGGGUAUACUGGCGAUCUUGAGCCACCUAGGGGCGAGCGGAACAAGCGGUGGAGCGGUGAAAUGCGUAGAUAUCGCUUGGAACGCCAAUGGUGAAAACAGGUAGCUGGGAGUGUGCUGACGCUGAGACACGAAAGCCAGGGGAGCAAACGGG
Molecule: ribosomal RNA, 253 nt
Filed under: uncultured bacterium
Lineage: Bacteria
Description: partial 16S ribosomal RNA
Rfam family: Bacterial small subunit ribosomal RNA
Source: RNAcentral